Molecule: non-coding RNA, 48 nt
Filed under: Schistosoma margrebowiei
Lineage: Eukaryota; Metazoa; Platyhelminthes; Trematoda; Strigeidida; Schistosomatidae
Source: RNAcentral
AUCCAGUUGACGAUUCCUUAAUAGGACGAAACGCGCGUCGAACUGGAU